This is a long non-coding RNA of Heterocephalus glaber (naked mole-rat), 511 nucleotides long. RefSeq lists it as uncharacterized. The record is from RefSeq and is a predicted model, not a curated record. NCBI's taxonomy places the organism in Eukaryota, Metazoa, Chordata, Mammalia, Rodentia, Bathyergidae.
ACCUGGUUUCAUCACUGAGCAGGCGGAGCCGAGCCUGACUCGUAGUGGUGCUUGUAUCAGCUAGGGUGUGCUCUGAACCCCUGCCUGGCCUGUACCCCUCACCUGCCCAGGUCCCCACAGUGGCAGCUCCACUGUCACCAUGAUGCAUGGUGGAGAGCAUAGCCACUGCUUCCUGCCAGCAGACAGAAGCACUCUGUGGGCUGUGGGCCACGUAUAAUGCCAGUUGCAGUAGUAAAGUGGUAACAACAGGUCACUGACUGGUGUUGGAGCAGGAGACUGGCAUCAUGUACAGGUCCCGGGAUAUAUUUCAGGAAGGAAAGAUUUGGUACACCGAGGACCUCUGAAAUAAGAGAGAUCAUCAAGAGCUCAGGGGAUGCGAAUACUGGGGACAUUCCAGCUCCUCAAUCAUCAUUUGAGAUGUUUGUCUCAAGAGCACAAAGUCAUCAAGGCUUUCUCAUGCUCUCUAGAGAGCUGUCUUUUAUUUUCCUUUGUAAACCUUUUUCACCUUUUA